RNAcentral lists this long non-coding RNA (253 nucleotides) under Homo sapiens (human). RNAcentral describes it as "non-protein coding lnc-SS18-2:1". The record is from RNAcentral. Lineage: Eukaryota; Metazoa; Chordata; Mammalia; Primates; Hominidae.
UAGUGACAGCCCCUCAGGAACUGUUGGUGGUAUUAGUUGACAACUACAUCAAACUCUUCACAGACUGCAACACAGAAGCCUUCCGGAAGAUACUGGACAUGAAGGGAAUGAAGAGGAACAAGCAGAGCAGCAUGCUGGAAUUCCUGCACCUGCCACUCCCCAUGCUGCCCUUGGGGGUGGAAAGCUCAAGCUCACUGUCCCUGAUGCCGCCAACACCAGAGCAGGAAUUGUCUGGCAUCUGCAAACUCAUUAA